UCUGAUCUCAGAUCAAGCAAGAAAACCCGCCGAAUUUAAGCAUAUAAUUAAGCGGAGGAAAAGAAACUAACCAGGAUUCCCCUAGUAAGGGCGACUGAAGCGGGAAUAGCUCACGAUGUGAAUCAGCGCUGCUCUGUGGCGCCGAAUUGUGGUCUGAAAACGUUUGCAUUACUGGCGGGGCCAAGUCCCUUGGAACAGGGCAGCCGAGAGGGUGAGACUCCCGUGUGCCCUGCCUUUGGAGCGAGCGUUUGACGAGUCGAGUUGUUUGGGAUUGCAGCUCUAAGUGG
RNAcentral lists this ribosomal RNA (287 nucleotides) under Sellaphora capitata. Its description in RNAcentral is "partial 26S ribosomal RNA". It matches the Rfam family "Eukaryotic large subunit ribosomal RNA", at positions 1 to 295 of the family's 3401-position model. Lineage: Eukaryota; Bacillariophyta; Bacillariophyceae; Sellaphorales; Sellaphoraceae. The record is from RNAcentral.